GACGAACGCUGGCGGCGUGGAUUAGGCAUGCAAGUCGAACGGUAUCAUCCUUUCGGGGAUGAGAGAGUGGCGAACGGGUGAGUAACACGUAGGUGAUCUACCCUCAAGACGGGGACAACCCAGGGAAACUUGGGCUAAUACCGGAUGUGAGCUAUCGCGAGAUAGUUUGAAAGGUGGCUUCGGCUGCCGCUUGGGGAUGAGCCUGCGUCCUAUUAGCUAGUUGGUGAGGUAACGGCUCACCGAGGCAGUGAUAGGUAGGCGGCCUUAACGGGUGGUCGCCCACACUGGGAUUGAGAUACGGCCCAGACUCCUACGGGAGGCAGCAGUCGAGAAUAGUCUACAAUGGUCGAAAGACUGAUAGUGCGACGCCGCGUGAACGAAGAAGCCCUUCGGGGUGUAAAGUUCUUUUAUAUGUGAGCAGUGACAUCUAUAUUAAAUAGUAAUGGGGAGAGAGAUAUUAGCAUAUGAAUAAGCAACGGCUAAACUCCGUGCCAGC
This 496-nucleotide ribosomal RNA is filed under the name uncultured bacterium. RNAcentral's name for it is "partial 16S ribosomal RNA". It matches the Rfam family "Bacterial small subunit ribosomal RNA", at positions 28 to 512 of the family's 1533-position model. The record is from RNAcentral.